CGGAGGUAUGUUCGAAAUUUAUGCAGAUUCGAUGUUUAGUUUUUGAACAGCCAUGAAAAUCAUUGAUUGCUGAUUAGUUCGAAUAACCCUAAAAUAUUUUGUAUAAAUUAUGGUUUAGACUGACUGAUUACUAAUUCAACUUUUUUUUUCGUCUUAAAAAAUUUGGGUUCAUACUGGUGUUGCUGCAUAGAUGACUCAAAACAAGGGGAAACAUAAACGUUUGCCAGUUUGUUCAUCAAUUCAAAAGAAGAAAACCACGUGCGAAUCAUCAGAUUCAUCUACUAAUGACGAAGUUCUCUACUGAUCUAGGGACCCAGGGGUAUUGAAGAGGAUGAGGUCUAGGAAGGAGGAGAUUCACCAAGCUCUGUCAGGGUGGUAUCUACAGAUUCCGGUCUAGCUCCCAAGCGUUCUUGAACGUCCUGGUGCAUAGUGUUUGGCAACUCGAAUCAGACACUUGAGGCAGCGCAUGAUGCACCAGAAAUUUAUUCAUAAAUUUCCUACGCUGCAUUUGGUGUAUGGAAGAGUUUGAAUCCGUGAGCAAGACAAAAUGACUAGUUUAGUGAAAGUUAUCAAGGUGGGAUGGGUGAUCGUCCGAGAAAGGGAUAUGCAAGUAGUAUUUGUGGCUCCAGAAUGAGUUGAACAACUAUUCAGAGUGUUAAAGUAGAUAUUCGAUUACUUUUGUUCACUUAUUUAUAAUAUGUUCAUUCAUAAAAAUCUGUAUGUAUUAAUUUAAUUUAACUUAUUGUUCAG
Long non-coding RNA from Salvia miltiorrhiza (redroot sage), 750 nucleotides. RefSeq lists it as uncharacterized. The transcript is spliced from 4 exons. The record is from RefSeq and is a predicted model, not a curated record. NCBI's taxonomy places the organism in Eukaryota, Viridiplantae, Streptophyta, Magnoliopsida, Lamiales, Lamiaceae.